Molecule: long non-coding RNA, 601 nt
Filed under: Setaria italica (foxtail millet)
Lineage: Eukaryota; Viridiplantae; Streptophyta; Magnoliopsida; Poales; Poaceae
Description: long non-coding RNA (SITA_LNC001156)
Source: RNAcentral
CCAUUCAACAAGACAUGAAACUAAACGAUGCCACUGUCAAUAAGUUGGGCAAAGUGAGGUGACCAUCGCCACAUUGGUAGUACAAGAAGAAAAAAAUUGGAGCCAAAGCCAUAACCUCCCACCCGAUGAUCUUGCUUUGCUUUCUCAAUACAGUCCCAACCAACAUUUCAGAACAAAAAAUGUUAUGACAUAAGAAGAUGUAGCUGAGGGCAUGCUUCAAUGCUUGAAAGGCUCAACGAUCAACCAACAUUUCACCACACCAUUCCAAGUGCAGAACCUUCUCUAUUAGCAGUUCUUGUUCCUCCUUGAACCGCAUGACCUGCUGCGACAUAAGUAUAAAUAUGGCACCAAGAGAAAGCAUCAAAUUUGAUUGAUAUUCCAACAAAAUAAGUUUAUGGGAAUGAUACAACAUAGUUGAUACCUGAGCAUUGCAGUUUCUUGGACUUGCAAAAGUGGUGGACUGGAUCUCACACCUCAUGGUUGGGGGAAUCACAUUGACAGAAUGCAUGUGCUCCAAUGCAUGAACCUACAAACAUAAAUUUUGCUUGGAAAAAGAAUUAGAACAAUUUAGUAAAAUUAGAAAGAAUAACAUAUUGUACUG